UUAACACAUGCAAGUCGAGGGGCAGCAUGGUCUUAUCUUGCUAAGGCCGAUGGCGACCGGCGCACGGGUGAGUAACACGUAUCCAACCUGCCGUCUACUCUUGGACAGCCUUCUGAAAGGAAGAUUAAUACAAGAUGGCAUCAUGAGUCCGCAUGUUCACAUGAUUAAAGGUAUUCCGGUAGACGAUGGGGAUGCGUUCCAUUAGAUAGUAGGCGGGGUAACGGCCCACCUAGUCUUCGAUGGAUAGGGGUUCUGAGAGGAAGGUCCCCCACAUUGGAACUGAGACACGGUCCAAACUCCUACGGGAGGCAGCAGUGAGGAAUAUUGGUCAAUGGGCGAGAGCCUGAACCAGCCAAGUAGCGUGAAGGAUGACUGCCCUAUGGGUUGUAAACUUCUUUUAUAAAGGAAUAAAGUCGGGUAUGGAUACCCGUUUGCAUGUACUUUAUGAAUAAGGAUCGGCUAACUCCGUGCCAGCAGCCGCGGUAAUACGGAGGAUCCGAGCGUUAUCCGGAUUUAUUGGGUUUAAAGGGAGCGUAGAUGGAUGUUUAAGUCAGUUGUGAAAGUUUGCGGCUCAACCGUAAAAUUGCAGUUGAUACUGGAUAUCUUGAGUGCAGUUGAGGCAGGCGGAAUUCGUGGUGUAGCGGUGAAAUGCUUAGAUAUCACGAAGAACUCCGAUUGCGAAGGCAGCCUGCUAAGCUGCAACUGACAUUGAGGCUCGAAAGUGUGGGUAUCAAACAGGAUUAGAUACCCUGGUAGUCCACACGGUAAACGAUGAAUACUCGCUGUUUGCGAUAUACUGCAAGCGGCCAAGCGAAAGCGUUAAGUAUUCCACCUGGGGAGUACGCCGGCAACGGUGAAACUCAAAGGAAUUGACGGGGGCCCGCACAAGCGGAGGAACAUGUGGUUUAAUUCGAUGAUACGCGAGGAACCUUACCCGGGCUUAAAUUGCAGAUGAAUUACGGUGAAAGCCGUAAGCCGCAAGGCAUCUGUGAAGGUGCUGCAUGGUUGUCGUCAGCUCGUGCCGUGAGGUGUCGGCUUAAGUGCCAUAACGAGCGCAACCCUUGUUGUCAGUUACUAACAGGUUCCGCUGAGGACUCUGACAAGACUGCCAUCGUAAGAUGUGAGGAAGGUGGGGAUGACGUCAAAUCAGCACGGCCCUUACGUCCGGGGCUACACACGUGUUACAAUGGGGGGUACAGAGGGCCGCUACCACGCGAGUGGAUGCCAAUCCCCAAAACCUCUCUCAGUUCGGACUGGAGUCUGCAACCCGACUCCACGAAGCUGGAUUCGCUAGUAAUCGCGCAUCAGCCACGGCGCGGUGAAUACGUUCCCGGGCCUUGUACACACCGCCCGUCAAGCCAUGGGAGCCGGGGGUACCUGAAGUGCGUAACCGCGAGGAGCGCCCUAGGGUAAAACUGGUGACUGGGGCUAA
This 1432-nucleotide ribosomal RNA is filed under the name uncultured organism. Its description in RNAcentral is "16S ribosomal RNA". It matches the Rfam family "Bacterial small subunit ribosomal RNA". The record is from RNAcentral.